UAGGGAAUCUUCGGCAAUGGACGAAAGUCUGACCGAGCAACGCCGCGUGAGUGAAGAAGGUAUUCGGAUCGUAAAACUCUGUUGUUAGAGAAGAACAAGGACGUUAGUAACUGAACGUCCCCUGACGGUAUCUAACCAGAAAGCCACGGCUAACUACGUGCCAGCAGCCGCGGUAAUACGUAGGUGGCAAGCGUUGUCCGGAUUUAUUGGGCGUAAAGCGAGCGCAGGCGGUUUCUUAAGUCUGAUGUGAAAGCCCCCGGCUCAACCGGGGAGGGUCAUUGGAAACUGGGAGACUUGAGUGCAGAAGAGGAGAGUGGAAUUCCAUGUGUAGCGGUGAAAUGCGUAGAUAUAUGGAGGAACACCAGUGGCGAAGGCGGCUCUCUGGUCUGUAACUGACGCUGAGGCUCGAAAGCGUGGGGAGCAAACAGG
Molecule: ribosomal RNA, 429 nt
Filed under: Gemmatimonadota bacterium
Lineage: Bacteria; Pseudomonadati; Gemmatimonadota
Description: Gemmatimonadetes bacterium partial 16S ribosomal RNA
Rfam family: Bacterial small subunit ribosomal RNA
Source: RNAcentral